Molecule: non-coding RNA, 128 nt
Organism: Pimephales promelas (fathead minnow)
Lineage: Eukaryota; Metazoa; Chordata; Actinopteri; Cypriniformes; Leuciscidae
Source: RefSeq, a predicted model, not a curated record
GACUCAAAGCCUGUCAUCAAAAUGAUUGUAUUUGUCAUCAAAAUGAUUGUAUUUGUAUUACAGAUAUCUGUACCAGUUUCCAAGAAGCGACAAUCUUGUUCUCUAAAACACAUGGGAUGAAAAGUUUG